AUUGAACGCUAGCGGGAUGCUUUACACAUGCAAGUCGAACGGCAGCGCGGACUUCGGUCUGGCGGCGAGUGGCGAACGGGUGAGUAAUGUAUCGGAACGUGCCCAGUAGCGGGGGAUAACUACGCGAAAGCGUAGCUAAUACCGCAUACGCCCUACGGGGGAAAGCAGGGGAUCGUAAGACCUUGCACUAUUGGAGCGGCCGAUAUCGGAUUAGCUAGUUGGUGAGGUAACGGCUCACCAAGGCGACGAUCCGUAGCUGGUUUGAGAGGACGACCAGCCACACUGGGACUGAGACACGGCCCAGACUCCUACGGGAGGCAGCAGUGGGGAAUUUUGGCCAAUGGGGGCAACCCUGAUCCAGCCAUCCCGCGUGUGCGAUGAAGGCCUUCGGGUUGUAAAGCACUUUUGGCAGGAAAGAAACGUCGCGGGCUAAUACCCCGUGGAACUGACGGUACCUGCAGAAUAAGCACCGGCUAACUACGUG
RNAcentral lists this ribosomal RNA (484 nucleotides) under uncultured bacterium. Its description in RNAcentral is "partial 16S ribosomal RNA". It matches the Rfam family "Bacterial small subunit ribosomal RNA", at positions 30 to 507 of the family's 1533-position model. The record is from RNAcentral.